CGCUUGUCGUAGGGUAGCAAUAUUCUGCGGCAGGAGUGGCGCAAGGGUGCGUAACACGUGGGUCAUUUGCCGCGAAGUUGGGAACAACUCGUUGAAAGACGAGCUAAUACCUAAUGUGCUCCGCAAGGAGUAAAGCCGGGGACCGAAAGGCCUGGCGCUUCGCGAUAAGCCCGCGGCCUAUCAGCUAGUUGGCGGGGUAAAAGCCCACCAAGGCUAAGACGGGUAGCUGGUCUGAGAGGACGACCAGCCACACUGGAACUGAGACACGGUCCAGACACCUACGGGUGGCAGCAGUCGAGAAUUUUUCACAAUGGGCGAAAGCCUGAUGGAGCGACGCCGCGUGGGGGAUGAAGGGCUUCGGCUCGUAAACCCCUGUCAUUUGCGAACAAAGGCGCCAACCUAACACGUUGUUGUCUGAUAGUAGCAGAAGAGGAAGGGACGGCUAACUCUGUGCCAGCAGCCGCGGUAAUACAGAGGUCCCAAGCGUUGUUCGGAUUCACUGGGCGUAAAGGGUGCGUAGGUGGUGAACUAAGUCGGGUGUGAAAUCUCCGGGCUCAACCCGGAGCGUGCGCCCGAAACUGGUUUGCUAGAGGAUAGGAGGGGAGACUGGAAUUCUCGGUGUAGCAGUGAAAUGCGUAGAUAUCGAGAGGAACACCGGUGGCGAAGGCGAGUCUCUGGACUAUUCCUGACACUGAAUCACGAAAGCCGGGGGAGCAAACAGGAUUAGAUACCCUGGUAGUCCCGGCCCUAAACGGUGCGCAUUUGCUGUGGGCGGAAUC
Molecule: ribosomal RNA, 779 nt
Filed under: uncultured bacterium
Lineage: Bacteria
Description: bacterial SSU rRNA
Rfam family: Bacterial small subunit ribosomal RNA
Source: RNAcentral